GAUGAACGCUGGCGGCGUGCCUAAUACAUGCAAGUCGAGCGAACAGACGAGGCGCUUGCUCCUCUGACGUUAGCGGCGGACGGGUGAGUAACACGUGGAUAACCUACCUAUAAGACUGGGAUAACUUCGGGAAACCGGAGCUAAUACCGGAUAAUAUAUUGAACCGCAUGGUUCAAUAGUGAAAGACGGUUUUGCUGUCACUUAUAGAUGGAUCCGCGCCGCAUUAGCUAGUUGGUAAGUUAACGGCUUACCAAGGCAACGAUGCGUAGCCGACCUGAGAGAGUGAUCGGCCACACUGGAACUGAGACACGGUCCAGACUCCUACGGGAGGCAGCAGUAGGGAAUCUUCCGCAAUGGGCGAAAGCCUGACGGAGCAACGCCGCGUGAGUGAUGAAGGUCUUCGGAUCGUAAAACUCUGUUAUUAGGGAAGAACAAAUGUGUAAGUAACUAUGCACGUCUUGACGGUACCUAAUCAGAAAGCCACGGCUAACUACGUG
RNAcentral lists this ribosomal RNA (497 nucleotides) under uncultured bacterium. Its description in RNAcentral is "partial 16S ribosomal RNA". It matches the Rfam family "Bacterial small subunit ribosomal RNA", at positions 28 to 507 of the family's 1533-position model. The record is from RNAcentral.